This 253-nucleotide ribosomal RNA is filed under the name uncultured bacterium. RNAcentral's name for it is "partial 16S ribosomal RNA". It matches the Rfam family "Bacterial small subunit ribosomal RNA", at positions 524 to 776 of the family's 1533-position model. The record is from RNAcentral.
UACGAAGGGGGCUAGCGUUGCUCGGAAUCACUGGGCGUAAAGCGCACGUAGGCGGCUUUCUAAGUCAGGGGUGAAAUCCUGGAGCUCAACUCCAGAACUGCCUUUGAUACUGGAGAGCUUGAGUCCGGAAGAGGUGAGUGGAACUCUGAGUGUAGAGGUGAAAUUCGUAGAUAUUCGGAAGAACACCAGUGGCGAAGGCGGCUCACUGGUCCGGUACUGACGCUGAGGUGCGAAAGCGUGGGGAGCAAACAGG